GACAUAUUUAUUGUACAAAGACUUCUUCCAAUUCUGGAAGAGUACUGCCAUCUUCUUCAUAGUCCAGUCAUAAAUUCGCACCUUCAACUCUUCAUCGUUGGUGUCGAAGGUGAAAACGUCUGUGACGGCUUUCCAAACUAACUCCUUGUCACGAUCAGAGACAAAACUGAUCUCAGGAGCACCUCGCUUCUCUCUCCAUUCACGACAACUGAUCGGUAUUUGAUCUCUCACAAGAUAUCCACAGUGAUUAACAUAUUUAUUUGCAUGCUCACCAAGUGGUCUGCCUGUAGCUAUCUCAAACUCAGAGAUUACAUAGCGGCCCUCCAACGGCUUCUUUGGCCCUCAUGGAGGUACGCUUCUCCCCGUAGAGGUCGAUCCAGAAGGCUACACGUACAUAUAGAAACAAAAAUACUAAAUUAAUAACCAAGUAAUAAGUCUAAAACCUAAUGUAAGAGAUGCAUUAUUUAUAUAUGUUUAUAUUUACAUACCUCGCCAGUAUUUUCUUCUUGUUGCACGACAAGUUGUUGCUCAGGGGCAUUGCCCUCUUGUUGCUCAGGGGCAUUGCCCUCUUGUUGCUCAGUAGGAUUGCCUUGCAUGAUGUCGUGGUAAUCAACGAAGUACUGACUACCGUCGUCGAUUAUAUUUUGAAUGGCAGCUUCCAUAUAAUCAGGAUCAUCAUGAGGAC
This 685-nucleotide long non-coding RNA is filed under the name Sorghum bicolor (sorghum). Its description in RNAcentral is "long non-coding RNA (SBIC_LNC009406)". The record is from RNAcentral. Lineage: Eukaryota; Viridiplantae; Streptophyta; Magnoliopsida; Poales; Poaceae.